Molecule: ribosomal RNA, 253 nt
Filed under: uncultured bacterium
Lineage: Bacteria
Description: partial 16S ribosomal RNA
Rfam family: Bacterial small subunit ribosomal RNA
Source: RNAcentral
UACGGAGGGCGCAAGCGUUAAUCGGAAUCACUGGGCGUAAAGGGCGCGCAGGCGGCUCGUCAAGUGGGAUGUGAAAGCCCUGGGCUCAACCUAGGAAUGGCAUUCCAAACUGGCGGGCUAGAGUCCGGAAGAGGGAGGUGGAAUUCCCCGUGUAGCGGUGAAAUGCGUAGAUAUGGGGAGGAACACCGGUGGCGAAGGCGACCUCCUGGUCCGGCACUGACGCUGAGGCGCGAAAGCGUGGGUAGCGAACGGG